UGGGUCAACUAUGGCUGGU
This 19-nucleotide non-coding RNA is filed under the name Arabidopsis thaliana (thale cress). Lineage: Eukaryota; Viridiplantae; Streptophyta; Magnoliopsida; Brassicales; Brassicaceae. The record is from RNAcentral.